AGAUUAUUUAAAGUAAAUUAUACAUUUCUUCGAACUCCGCCAAUGCCGGUCCCAAGCCCGAGAUGAAAAAGGAGGAGGGUUGUGCGUAGGGUCAGCACCCCGACCACGUAAAACAAACUACGCUACAGAAACCCAAACCACAGCAACACGACAUGAAGAUUUACGGUAUCGACCCGGGGGAGAGCGCAUGAAACAGAGAAAUCUGCGGAUAAACCUACUCUCCUCCAAGAACAUAAAGAUGUCAUGGGGAGAAGCGAAAGCCCGGGCCAUGGACCGAACCAGAUGGAGAGCUGUGGUAAAGGCCCUAUGCUCCGAACAGGGCGAAGAGGAAUAAGUAAUGUCGUCGUCACAUCGGCAUACUCUGUAGGCUCGUAGCAGUCUGGUUUCGUGGCGAAUGCCCUACACUUUUCGAGGAAAUCUAUGUCGAGAUCGGCGUAUACGAUAUCCGAUCCAGUAGCACCCUGGUUUAACGAAAUAAUUGCUUAUACAAUCUUAUGCAAUAUUCUCUUUACAUAUGCGAAUUACUGUUGUAUUUGAGAAAUAAUUGCAAAUUUUAGUUGUUUAAUAUGCGAGAAAGUCAGAA
This is a long non-coding RNA of Dreissena polymorpha, 583 nucleotides long. RefSeq lists it as uncharacterized. Lineage: Eukaryota; Metazoa; Mollusca; Bivalvia; Myida; Dreissenidae. The record is from RefSeq and is a predicted model, not a curated record. The transcript is spliced from 2 exons.